AGGACGAACGCUGGCGGCGUGCUUAACACAUGCAAGUCGAGCGGAAAGGCCCUUCGGGGUACUCGAGCGGCGAACGGGUGAGUAACACGUGAGUAAUCUGCCCCUAGCUCUGGGAUAGCUCCGGGAAACCGGGAUUAAUACCAGAUACGACCACUUUAGACAUCUGCUGUGGUGGAAAGAAUUUCGGCUAGGGAUGAGCUCGUGGCCUAUCAGCUUGUGGUGAGGUAACGGCUCACCAAGGCGACGACGGGUA
Molecule: ribosomal RNA, 253 nt
Filed under: uncultured bacterium
Lineage: Bacteria
Description: partial small subunit ribosomal RNA
Rfam family: Bacterial small subunit ribosomal RNA
Source: RNAcentral